CAAUAGCGUAUAUUAAAGUUGUUGCGGUUAAAAAGCUCGUAGUUGGAUUUCUGCCGAGGACGACCGGUCCGCCCUCUGGGUGAGUAUCUGGCUUGGCCUGGGCAUCUUCUUGGAGAACGUAGCUGCACUUGACUGUGUGGUGCGGUAUCCAGGACUUUUACUUUGAGGAAAUUAGAGUGUUUCAAGCAGGCAUGCGCCUUGAAUACAUUAGCAUGGAAUAAUAAGAUAGGACUUUGGUGGUCUAUUUUGUUGGUUUGCACGCCAAGGUAAUGAUUAAUAGGGAUAGUUGGGGGUAUUUAUAUUUAAUUGUCAGAGGUGAAAUUCUUGGAUUUCUGAAAGACGAACUACUGCGAAAGCAUUUACCAAGGAUGUUUUCAUUAAUCAAGAACGAAAGUUAGGGGAUCGAAGACGAUCAGAUACCAU
This 423-nucleotide ribosomal RNA is filed under the name uncultured eukaryote. RNAcentral describes it as "SSU rRNA". It matches the Rfam family "Eukaryotic small subunit ribosomal RNA", at positions 592 to 1018 of the family's 1831-position model. The record is from RNAcentral.